GGGACCUCUGAUCUAUAGCCAAUGGAUCAGAAGCACAGCUGACAGCUUGGACUUGAUUGGCAUCUGAAAUGUGUGUCUGAGCAGGGGGAGGGCAGACUUGUAGGACUGAGCCCUCUCCCUGUGGGACCGGUUGCCUUCUCCAGGUAAAGAGUAUCAGAACUGAACUGAAUUGUAGGACACCCAGCUGGUAUAGAAGAAUUGCUUUGUGUUGUGGGGGUAAAACCCACACAUAGGAAUUGGUAUCAGUAUAAUAAACGGAAUUCAUUGCUAGGAUGAAUAACAAGACAACAGAAGCAGGUAGAUACAAAGGCAAAGUACCGUUACCCAGUCUCCAUGUCACAUUUUGCAUCUGCUCCUAAACAGGUGUGGGUACAAGAGGAACAUCAUUCCUGGACAGUUUGAUAUAAUCUGUCAUUUUCUGUCUGGAGGAAAUUCUGCUUGGUUUUUUAAUGCAGAAGGAAGACACUGUCUAUUUAUCUUUACUGAAAAUGUGGCUGGGGGUCCAGAUUUUUGAAGCCCAGCCCAGCUCUUCUGGGAGCAGGAGUCACUUUUCUUUGUAGCUCAGUGUCACUGGGACAGAGCACUGAUCACCUGUCCAAUGAGGGUCAAAGAAGUGCCCAAUGCAGGGCUGUUGAGGGCCAGUGGAGACAGUGGGAUGGAGACGAAGCGAAGAGGGUAGAUGGUAAGCUCUUGAGCUCUGUGAAUUUUGACGACCAGCAGGCCAACCCCCAGCCUCCCCAUCUGCUACAAAAAAUACAUCAGGAUGUCCCCAUCAUCGUUCCUCCUUGGCAUCCUCAUCACCUGAGGGCUGGGGGGCGGGGUUGUCUCUACUCUGGCAGUUUAUCCACACAGGUGUCACCGCUGCCAGGACACCGUGUAAUGUCUGGGUCUGGGAUGUCCUGGGGAGUUUGGAGAGACUUUGGAGGUCAUCACCAGCCCAGCAAGGCCAUCACAACAUCAGGCUCUGGAGCCAAACCAGCUAGGUUCCAGUUCCCACCUGGAGCCAAACUCGCUGGGCUCAAGUCUGCACCAGUCACUUAGAAGCUGAUUAAAUGAGGGAAGCUACCUUACUUCUCCUCCCCACAGUAUCCGCACCUGUAAAAUCUGUAAAGGAAACAGCAGCUCCCACCUCAGAGGGUGGUAGAAAGGAUCAGUUUCCACAUGUUCAUUGCUGCUGCUGCUGCUGCUGCUAAGUGGCCUCAGUCGUGUCCGACUCUGUGCGACCCCAUAGACGGCAGCCCAUCAGGCUCCUCUGUCCCUGGGAUUCUCCAGGCAAGAAUACCGGAGUGGGUUGCCAUUUCCUUCUCCAAUGCAUGAAAGUGAAAAGUGAAAGUGAAGUUGCUCAGUUGUGUCUGACCCUUAGCGACCCCAGGGACUGCAGCCUACCAGGCUCCUCCAUCCAUGGAUUUUCCAGGCAAGAGUACUGGAGUGGGGUGCCAUUGCCUUCUCCAUGAUCAUUGCUAGUAUAUAUAAAUACAAUUUUUUUUGGUGUGUAUAACUUUCUUUCCUGCAAACUUGCUAAACUCUCUUACUCUAGAAGGGUUUUGGGGUAUUUUUUUUUGGCAAAUCCCUUAGAAUUUUCUACCUCGUCCACCAUGUCAUCUGAAUUAUAGACACAGGUUUCUUUAUGAUGCAUAUGCCUUUUAUUUCCUUCACGUGCCUGAUGGUAUCAGCUGGAGCUUCCAGGACCACUAACAAUGGUGUUUUUAUGAUGGCUGCUUUAAAAUCCUCAUUAGAAAAUUCUAACAUCUUUGUCAUCUCUGUGUUGAUGUCUACUGAUCAUUUUUACUCUUUCAAGAGAUUUCUUCUGACAUCACUUCUAUGGAUGGAGAGGGUUCAGCAUUGCUAGUGCCAAGUAGGUGCUGAAGUUCAGAUUCCUACCUGGCCAGUCUUCACUCCUGGAGGGGAGGAUUCUUCAUUACUGCUGAGCAGUGGUGGGAGGCUCAGCUUCUCAUGAUGCCUGCUGAUAUCACCAUGGCAGAGAGGCAAGGUGCCUUGUUAUGAACCCAUGUGAUCUCCACUGGCACCUCAAGGGGACCAGACCUUAUUAGCACUGGUCAGGGACUGAAGUCCUGACCUCCCACUUGGCCUUCUCCAAUACAAGCUGGGUGUAGGGGAGCAGCUGUGUCAUCUUGUUGCAGCUGGGCAAGCACGGAAGGCUAGGCCCAGCACCUGGCUCUUGCCUUCAAGGGUCACCUGGACCUUCAAGUCUUUCUGUAAAGUUGGGCUGAAGUAGGGUGGUUAUUGUCUAGACCUUUCUGUCUGGCCAGACUGACCCUUUCCUGGUGAAUACUCAUUGGAAGGACUGAUGCUAGUGCUGAAGCUCCGAUACUUUGGCCACCUGACGCAAAGAGCUGACUCAUUAGAAAAGACCCUGAUGCUGGGAAAGAUUGAAGGUGGGAGGAAAAGGGGAUGGCAGAGGAUGAGAUGGUCGGAUGGCAUCAUUGACUCAAUGGACACGGGUUUGAGCAAGCUCCGGGUAUUGGUGAAGGACAGGAAAGCCUGGAGUGCUGCAGCCCACGGGGUAGCAAAAAGUCGGACAUGAUUGAGCAACUGAACAACUGGAUACAGAAAGCAAGGUUUUUUUUGUUGUUGUUUGUUUGUUUUUUAUCUGUGAUUUCCUGUUGGCAGGUUGCUGGCUUCUUUAGCACUAGGUGUGGGAUAUAUAGGGCUUUCCUGGUGGUUCAGAUGGUGAAAAAUUUGCCUGCAAUGCAGCAGACUUGAGUUCAGUCCCUGGGUUGGGAAGAUCCCCUGGAGAAGGGAAUGGCUCCUCACUUCAGUAUUCUUCCCUGGAGAAUUUCAUGGACAGUGGAAUAUGUGAGACUGAAAGAAAAAUCCAGGGAACUCAUCACUGUGUCAUUUCUCCAGAUCCAAGAUCCCUUACUGAUCUGUUUUCUUCUUUCCACCUUUCAGAGUAAUUUUUAUGUUAGUUUUAUGUAUAAUGUUUAAGGG
Bos taurus (domestic cattle) is the source of this 2952-nucleotide long non-coding RNA. Lineage: Eukaryota; Metazoa; Chordata; Mammalia; Artiodactyla; Bovidae. The record is from Ensembl.